Molecule: ribosomal RNA, 468 nt
Filed under: uncultured bacterium
Lineage: Bacteria
Description: partial 16S ribosomal RNA
Rfam family: Bacterial small subunit ribosomal RNA
Source: RNAcentral
GACCAACGCUGGCGGCGUGCUUAACACAUGCAAGUCGAACGGAAAGGCCCUGCUUUUGUGGGGUGCUCGAGUGGCGAACGGGUGAGUAACACGUGGGUAACCUGCCCUUGACUUUGGGAUAACUUCAGGAAACUGGGGCUAAUACCGGAUAGGAGCUCCUGCUGCAUGGUGGGGGUUGGAAAGUUUCGGCGGUUGGGGAUGGACUCGCGGCUUAUCAGCUUGUUGGUGGGGUAGUGGCUUACCAAGGCUUUGACGGGUAGCCGGCCUGAGAGGGUGACCGGCCACAUUGGGACUGAGAUACGGCCCAGACUCCUACGGGAGGCAGCAGUGGGGAAUAUUGCACAAUGGGCGGAAGCCUGAUGCAGCAACGCCGCGUGCGGGAUGACGGCCUUCGGGUUGUAAACCGCUUUCGCCUGUGACGAAGCGUGAGUGACGGUAAUGGGUAAAGAAGCACCGGCUAACUACGUG